GAAUAAACCCGACAGUAGCGAAAAUCCUUUUUGUUGCUCCUUCGAUAAACUCAGGAAGACAGACACAAAAAGAUUGUAGCGAAUGGCGGGGCUAACG
Non-coding RNA from Pedobacter ginsenosidimutans, 97 nucleotides. NCBI's taxonomy places the organism in Bacteria, Pseudomonadati, Bacteroidota, Sphingobacteriia, Sphingobacteriales, Sphingobacteriaceae. The record is from Rfam.